This 675-nucleotide long non-coding RNA is filed under the name Brassica rapa (field mustard). RNAcentral describes it as "long non-coding RNA (BRAP_LNC005563)". Lineage: Eukaryota; Viridiplantae; Streptophyta; Magnoliopsida; Brassicales; Brassicaceae. The record is from RNAcentral.
AACUCUGACUUCUCCAAGAACAUUCCACUUCCUCGUCUCACAGUUUGGUUUACUGCAGGAACAAAACAACACAGUAAGAAACAGUUCUUCUGUAGCUAUAGAUUCCUAUCUAAACCCCGUUGUUUGUUUUUUUUACUUACCAUAAAUGAUUUAUAAACCUAGCAAGGCUUCCUUUCUUAGUGGCGUCAAUAGCCUCAGAGGCAUUGAGAGAUAUUAUGUAAGCAUCCUUUACACCUGCACCCAUGUGUAACACACAGUUUCAGCAUUAUGAAGAUCCUUCAACAUCUCUGUAUUCAGUACUCACCAUGAGUUUCGUAAGUUUGAGCUCUACGCUUUGCUUCUUUACUGGAUCGCAAACACCAAAUACACAAUCAGUUCAUUUGUUCAUACCUGAUUGAAUGUACACUUGAGAAAUGACUUAACCUUUAUGUCUUCAACAGCCACUAGUUCAAAAGCCGGCGAAGUCAGAGCUAAGGGAGCCACCGCUUCCCGGAGUCAACAGCCGGCAAAGUCAGUGCUAAGAGAGCCACUUCUUUCCGGAAACAGAAGCCCGACUUACGGAAGACAAGACCGGAAGAGAAUCCGGUAACCAAAAAGACGACGUUGCUCUCUCAAUGAAAGAAAAACCUAAUUUCCGUUUCUAAUACUUCUAUACUAAUCAAAAAUGGAGAAAUU